RNAcentral lists this ribosomal RNA (247 nucleotides) under uncultured bacterium. RNAcentral's name for it is "partial 16S ribosomal RNA". It matches the Rfam family "Bacterial small subunit ribosomal RNA", at positions 524 to 771 of the family's 1533-position model. The record is from RNAcentral.
UACGUAGGGUGCAAGCGUUGUCCGGAAUUACUGGGCGUAAAGGGCGCGUAGGCGCCUUCUAAGUCGGACGUGAAAUCCCUCGGCUCAACCGAGGAACUGCGUCUGAUACUGGAAGGCUUGAAUCCGGGAGAGGGAUGUGGAAUUCCAGGUGUAGCGGUGAAAUGCGUAGAUAUUCGCAAGAACACCAGUGGCGAAGGCGGCUCACUGGCCCGAUACUGACGCUGAGGCACGAAAGCGUGGGGAGCAA